GAUGAACGCUGGCGGCGUGCCUAAUACAUGCAAGUCGAGCGAACGGACGAGAAGCUCGCUUCUCUGAUGUUAGCGGCGGACGUGUGAGUAACACGUGGAUAACCUACCUAUAAGACUGGGAUAACUUCGGGAAACCGGAGCUAAUACCGGAUGAUAUUUUGAACCGCAGUGUUCAAAAGUGAAAGACGGUCUUGCUGUCACUUAUAGAUGCAUCCGCGCUGCAUUAGAUAGUUGGUAAGGUAACGGCUUACCACGGCGACGAUGCGUAGCCGACCUGAGAGGCUGAUAGCCCACCUUAGAAGUGAGACACGGUAAAUGCGCCUACGAGAGGCACCAGUAGGGAACCUUACGCAAUAGUCGAAAGCAUGACGCAGCGAGGCCGCGUGAGUGACGAAGAUCUUCGGAGCGUAAAACUCGGUUAUUAGGGAAGAACCUAUGUGUAAGUAAACGAGGAGAUCUUGACGGUAACUAAUCAGAAAGCCACGGCUAACUACGUG
RNAcentral lists this ribosomal RNA (497 nucleotides) under uncultured bacterium. RNAcentral's name for it is "partial 16S ribosomal RNA". It matches the Rfam family "Bacterial small subunit ribosomal RNA", at positions 28 to 507 of the family's 1533-position model. The record is from RNAcentral.